CUGAAUUUGCUUUUUCUGCUUCUACCUCUUCCAGGCACAACGCCUGACUCUUCUUGAGUAUGUGCUCCAUGUUGUGUUCCAGUCUUCUCAAUUGGAUCACUCAUUGAUGUACAUUUAGAAUAUUUCUAAAAAGGGGAUACUGCUCAGAUUCUUUUGGUUUCUGUCUUUCUUCUAUCACCAUUUCUGAGACAUCUUCUCUGGCUUUCAAAAUCAGAAAGUAUAUUUUCCCCUAUGAUCCUCCAGUGCCCUAAAUCUGAAAAAUUCCCUGUCUGGUUCAUGUCGCAUGUAUACUAUGUUAUUUAAACCACAGAGUAUCCCCAUUUUAUAAAUGAAAAACUGAGACCAAGAAAAGUUCAGAAUCUUGCCUGUGAUAGCACAAUCAAAGCUUUAUCUGGGAAUCAAACCCUUCUCUGACUCCAUAAACUGUGAGGGUCAAUAUGUCCACAUAUGUAAGGAAAACAAAUCCCAAACCAUCACUACAGGUAUUGCCAAAGCGUCAUCAGGGUUUAGUUCUUGCUGCUAUGCUGCCCCAGGGUGCUAAAAUGUGAAUGAUGUAUAAUAUCCCUAUGGAUGCGAUCAGUCUAAUCAAAGCGGCCCUGGAGCCUAGGUUUCACUUCUUUGAGUUUAGCGAGUCCAGCUCUUACUGCCAAGCACAACUUCCUCAGCACACAGCAAAGAUUUGAGAUACACUGCUUCUAUGUUUAGCUUCCCAUUUCCCUGCAUCUCCUGAAUCUCAGAAGAAGCCAAGUGCUGUUGUUCCUAUUAGCCUAAUUGCUGUAUCCUUUCUGCAGACACUGACCCCUCCUUCUGGGUGACUUAGGCUACCCUGUUGCUACAUACUGUUUUCUGUGAAGCCAUGGACUGCAUCUUAGUUGAUUCUCACCUAGUCAACUCUGCACCAGAAGAACAGGAGUAGCCACAUCCAUUCAGCUGCUUAAAAAGGGAGGAAAUUUUAAUUAUUUUCGUUGAUCUGUGCCCUACUUUGUCUUCUUCAAUCAUAUUUUUACUCUUAAUCAGAAAUAUAUUUUCCUUUCCUAAUGAAUAUUCCAAUGAGCUCUGGAGAUCUGGUGUUCCAUGUAUGGUGCAUUCCUGAGCUCCUGUCAUAUUAAAUUUGCAUACCCAUUCAUACCUAUGUAGCAUUACUUGCUUAACUGAGGAAGGAGUAGGUAAGGAGUGAGCAUAAUAUGCCACUGAUGUUUCAUUGUUUGUAUUUUUUUUUUUCUAAUGAGGCUUGUAAACUAUUUUAUUCAUUUAGAAAAAAAGAAGAAAAACUGGCCUAAGAAACUUAGUGUUGAAAAAAAGGAAAAGAGAGCACAUAGAGUACACAGCAAUAGUGCAAAUCAAAAAGUGCGUACACAUUUUAUGAGAAAAACAAAAGAAUAGAAAGAACAGACUGGUGGUUACCAGAGGGAGGGGGAGGAGGAUGGGAAAAUGGGUGAAGGCUAUCAAAAGACACAAACUUCCAGUUAGAAGGUUAAUAAGUUCUAGGAAUAUAAUGUACAGCAUGGUGACUAGAGUUAAGAAUACUAUACUGUAUAUUCGAAAGUACCUAAGAGAGCAGAUUUUAAAAGUUCUCACCACACACAAAAAAAAUGUAUAACUAUGUGAGGAGAUGGAUACGUUAACUUAUUGUGGCAAUAAUUUGGCAAUAUAUACAUAUAUAAAAUCACUAUGUAUAUACCUUAAACCUAUGUCAAUUAUAUCUCAAUAAAGCCGGAAAAAAUAAAAUUUUAAAAACCAUA
This 1742-nucleotide long non-coding RNA is filed under the name Equus caballus (horse). Its description in RNAcentral is "lncRNA (ENSECAG00000060058.1)". Lineage: Eukaryota; Metazoa; Chordata; Mammalia; Perissodactyla; Equidae. The record is from RNAcentral.